This 498-nucleotide ribosomal RNA is filed under the name uncultured bacterium. RNAcentral describes it as "bacterial SSU rRNA". It matches the Rfam family "Bacterial small subunit ribosomal RNA", at positions 30 to 507 of the family's 1533-position model. The record is from RNAcentral.
CGAACGCUGGCGGCGUGCCUAACACAUGCAAGUCGAACGGAGAUUACAGCAAUGUAAUCUUAGUGGCGAACGGGUGAGUAACGCGUAGACAACCUACCUUCUAGCUGGGGACAACACUGCGAAAGUGGUGCUAAUACCGAAUGUUGUAUUUUGAUUGCAUAAUCGAAAUACUAAAGGCGGCCUCUAUUUAUAAGCUGUCACUAGAAGAUGGGUCUGCGUCUGAUUAGCUAGUUGGUGAGGUAAUGGCUCACCAAGGCGACGAUCAGUAGCCGGUCUGAGAGGAUGAACGGCCACACUGGGACUGAGACACGGCCCAGACUCCUACGGGAGGCAGCAGUGGGGAAUCUUCCGCAAUGGACGAAAGUCCGACGGAGCAACGCCGCGUGAGUGAAGAAGGUUUUCGGAUCGUAAAACUCUGUUUUCAGGGACGAAUGUGCGUCAUGUAAAUAAUGUGAUGUAAUGACGGUACCUGAGUAGAAAGCCACGGCUAACUACGUG